Molecule: ribosomal RNA, 84 nt
Filed under: Paenibacillus xerothermodurans
Lineage: Bacteria; Bacillati; Bacillota; Bacilli; Caryophanales; Paenibacillaceae
Description: Bacillus xerothermodurans partial 23S ribosomal RNA
Rfam family: Bacterial large subunit ribosomal RNA
Source: RNAcentral
ACGACGAGGUUGAUAGGUUCGGGGUGGAAGCACGGUAACGUGUGCAGCUGACGAAUACUAAUCGGUCGAGGGCUUAUCCAACUU